GAUGAACGCUGGCGGCGUGCCUAAUACAUGCAAGUCGAGCGAACAGACGAGGAGCUUGCUCCUCUGACGUUAGCGGCGGACGGGUGAGUAACACGUGGAUAACCUACCUAUAAGACUGGGAUAACUUCGGGAAACCGGAGCUAAUACCGGAUAAUAUAUUGAACCGCAUGGUUCAAUAGUGAAAGACGGUUUUGCUGUCUCUUAUAGAUGGAUCCGCGCCGCAUUAGCUAGUUGGUAAGGUAACGGCUUACCAAGGCAACGAUGCGUAGCCGACCUGAGAGGGUGAUCGGCCACACUGGAACUGAGACACGGUCCAGACUCCUACGGGAGGCAGCAGUAGGGAAUCUUCCGCAAUGGGCGAAAGCCUGACGGAGCAACGCCGCGUGAGUGAUGAAGGUCUUCGGAUCGUAAAGCUCUGUUAUUAGGGAAGAACAAAUGUGUAAGUAACUAUGCACGUCUUGACGGUACCUAAUCAGAAAGCCACGGCUAACUACGUG
RNAcentral lists this ribosomal RNA (497 nucleotides) under uncultured bacterium. RNAcentral describes it as "partial 16S ribosomal RNA". It matches the Rfam family "Bacterial small subunit ribosomal RNA", at positions 28 to 507 of the family's 1533-position model. The record is from RNAcentral.